GAUGAACGCUAGCGGCAGGCUUAAUACAUGCAAGUCGAGGGGCAGCAUGGUGUAGCAAUACACUGAUGGCGACCGGCAAACGGGUGCGGAACACGUACAGAACCUUCCUUCGAGCGGGGAAUAGCCCAGAGAAAUUUGGAUUAAUACCCCAUAGUAUAGCGGAGAGGCAUCUCUCUGUUAUUAAAGAUUUAUCACUUGAAGAUGGCUGUGCGGCUGAUUAGGUAGUUGGCGGGGUAACGGCCCACCAAGCCUGCGAUCAGUAACUGGUGCGAGAGCACGACCAGUCACACGGGCACUGAGACACGGGCCCACUCCUACGGGAGCAGCAGUAAGGAAUAUUGGUCAAUGGACGAAAGUCUGAACCAGCCAUGCCGCGUGGAGGGAUGAAGGUCCUCUGG
This 398-nucleotide ribosomal RNA is filed under the name uncultured bacterium. RNAcentral's name for it is "bacterial SSU rRNA". It matches the Rfam family "Bacterial small subunit ribosomal RNA", at positions 28 to 422 of the family's 1533-position model. The record is from RNAcentral.